Molecule: non-coding RNA, 1282 nt
Organism: Peromyscus maniculatus bairdii (prairie deer mouse)
Lineage: Eukaryota; Metazoa; Chordata; Mammalia; Rodentia; Cricetidae
Source: RefSeq, a predicted model, not a curated record
UGAGCUGGAAAAGAAGAGUUCAGGGGACUCCGUUAGAAGCUGGGAUGGACCGGCACGGUUGAUCGCAUUCUGCCAUGAUGGGCGCGGCCGUGUCCUCGCUCAGGGUGGUCUGCCCAUCCUUUCUCUCUUCAGUCUUCCUAUCUUAGCCCUGGCUGACCUGGCCGUGUCUGUCCAGGACCACUGCUGAGAGCCCACACUGCUGUACCCCUUUCGGUCUUCCAUCAAAUACAACCCCACAAGCUUUGUCAAAAGGGAAAUCGAGGCUGGACCAGCUGAACCAUUUGCCUCAAACUGGAUGUCAUUGCUCCGUGACCCUGCGCAUGGGAUUCUAAUCGCCGCGGUUUACUGCUCACGAGCUGAGCACAGUGAGGGCCGCUGUUGAGAGCCAAACGCCAACCAGAGCGGACUCUGGGUGCAAGAGGAACUGGGGGCUGCCUGAAGUGCACCCAGGUCUGUGAGAAGCUGCCUCUUGCUUUUCCUGUCACUCUCAAGGGGUGGCAGAUGGGCCCCAGUUCUACCCAGUCUGCAGACUUCAUUGCAGCCCAGGGGCCUGCCUGGAGGAGGAGCCUGACUGUGUAACCUGCAGGGUAGCCACAGUGCAGCAUGUCUGGGCUAGACUCCACAGCUCAAGGUGGUCUCAGAGUCCUGCCAGGAAAGGAGAUGCUGGACCAAGAGACAAUACAUCCCCAUGUAUACAUCCCAUAAUUUAUUUGAAGAGCAAUUGCUAUGGGGACUCUGGUCCACAGUCCUGGGAUAAUAACCAGGGCAUAAGAAAAGAGACACCAUAGCAACUGGCUGGUCCCUGCUCCCCCCCCUCCCUUUCUUCCCCCACCACGCUCACCAAGGGCCAGACUUAGUAAUGACUAUGUGAGCUGGAUGGCAGCUUCUGGCUCAUGCAGGAAUUAUUGAAAUUGGUUCUGUCCUUUAUUUUAAGCUGAAUUUUGAAAUAAGGUUUGUUUUUAUUUUCUAUCUUCACAUUAUUCCUGGGGUCAAAUGUCAGAAAGAGCAAGUGGACUGGAGAAUGAGUGACUGUCCUGCUCUUGAGACUGUCUUGCCACGGUGGAGAAAAGGUCAGUUCUCAGAGGACAGGCUGAGUCUUCCAACUGCAUGGAAGAAGCUGAGGUCUCCUGGGCUUCUCCACUCAGGAUCACUAGUGACCAAGCCAGCUCUAUUAGCCUCUGGUAGAAAGUCUUGAUGUCCCUGAGCAGGGCUGAGCCAGCUCUAUGAACCACAGUGAAGGUGUCCCCAGGCAGGGUCAAGCUAAGAGUUUAGGUACUUACUU